AGUCCAAGAAUAUUAGUCAAUGCUCGAAAGAGUGAACUAGCUAACUGAAAUCUUCAGUGUGUCACUGGAGAUAACGUAAAGUAUAAUAAUGAUAUUACUUUACUAUUAGUGUUGUCAAAGUACUCGUGCCAGAAGACUCGGUAAGGCGGGAGACACAAACGUUAGUAGUCUUAAACAGGCGUAAAGGAUUUGUAGGCGGCUUUUUUAAAUAAAAAGCUAGAAUCAAGAAGAGGUUAUAUUAUAUACGAAUUUAUAGAGUAAGUUUGAUAGCUGUAGAUCCUAUAAAGAGUGUUAGCGGCGAAGGCAUUUUUCCAAUACUGAUUGACGCUGAGAAAUGAAGGUAAGGAUAGAAAAAAGGAUUAGAGACCCUUGUAUCCCUUACUGUCAACUAUGAAUGGUAAUUACUAGAAUUAACAUUUUCUAGAAAUAAGGUUAACGCGUAGAACCAUUCCGCCUUGUGAGUACGGUUGCAAAACUGAAAACAAAAUAAUUAGUCGGUUUCGGAGCAAACGGAGUGAAGCAUGUUAUUUAAUUCGAUAAA
Molecule: ribosomal RNA, 541 nt
Filed under: Repetobasidium mirificum
Lineage: Eukaryota; Fungi; Basidiomycota; Agaricomycetes; Hymenochaetales
Description: SSU rRNA
Rfam family: Bacterial small subunit ribosomal RNA
Source: RNAcentral